Molecule: small RNA, 525 nt
Filed under: Pongo abelii (Sumatran orangutan)
Lineage: Eukaryota; Metazoa; Chordata; Mammalia; Primates; Hominidae
Description: processed transcript
Source: RNAcentral
AUGGCGACCCCAAAGAGAAAGCAUGAAAGAACCUUUAGAGUAGAGUUCAACACUUAAGGCAAGUAGACAAGCCAAAGACCUCUUAAGGAUCAGGCUUGAAGAGAAGGGAGAGUUUGGGAAAAGAAAAAAUAAAGAAAAGCUGGAAGAAGGACAAGCCUAAUGGGAGACAAAGCCUCGCUUUAUCUACAAAAGGGGGAAAAGGUUGUUUUUCAAAGUUAAAGAUAAAGCCAUCUGUCAUAUUUGGCCAAGCAUCUCAUGACAAGUCCUUCUGACAAGCACUUAAAGAGUUAAAGGUCAAGAUGAAGUUGAAUGAUGGCCAAGAUUAAAGGAGUCAUACCUGAUCCCUGUGAAGACUGCUGGCCCUGCGCUGCUUUAGCACAAUGAUCAGUUGGCCCUGAAUGAGUUGCAGAAGGCCUUCUCCCUGAUAUAGGUACCUAACUGGGACCUCUGGGAGACUGGUCCCUGACCCAGAGUUUCAGGUGACCUUACUUCCAUUCUUUCAGUGAGAUCAUCUCCCUGCAACAA